Oncorhynchus tshawytscha (Chinook salmon) is the source of this 489-nucleotide long non-coding RNA. Lineage: Eukaryota; Metazoa; Chordata; Actinopteri; Salmoniformes; Salmonidae. The record is from Ensembl.
GGGGGUAGUUUAAUGGAGGGUAGUUUAGUGGGGGGAGCUUUAGUGGAGGGUAGUUUAGUGGAGCGUAGUUUAGUGGGGGGUAGUUUAAUGGAGGGUAGUUUAGUCGGGGUAGUUUAGUGGAGGGUAGUUUAAUGGAGGGUAGUUUAGUUGGGAUAGUUUAGUGGGGGGUAGUUUAGUGGAGGGUAGUUUAAUGGAGUGUAGUUUAAUGUAGGGUAGUUUAGUGGAGGGCAGAAAAUAAAGGGAGAGGCUCAGAGGAGGCAGGGAAGACAACGUUGGAGGGAGAGAGUAUUCCUGAGCUCAUAGCCCUCAUUUUUUGGGCCGUUGUAAACCUAUUCAUGGUCCAGGGUUUGGACACCCCUUUUAUAGAUGUGGAUCCAGUGGAAUGUAGGGGAUAGUAUCACGGUUCAGGAUAACAGGAUUUUGGUGGCAGGUAGCCUAGUGGUUAGAGUGUUGGACUGGUAAUCGAAAGGUUGCAAGAUCGAAUCCCCG